AAUAAUCAGAAAAUCUGACUCUUGCUUGCACCUAGCAUGUCAUCCAUCCCCUAGUAUCUGUAAAUGUGAAUGUAGGGUUGUAUUUCUGCAUAACCCCCAAAAUGGGUUCUAGUAAUCAGAAAAUUCGACCAUUGCUUGCACCUAGUAUGUAGUCCAUCUCCGUAGUAUUAACGUAUUGUUGUUAUCCAUUUUUUUUUACCAAAAAUACUAUAUAUUUUUUUUAAUUUCAACCUCAUUUUCGUUAAUAUAUUAUUUUCAAAUGUUUGAUUUUUUUUUUAUCUGGUCGUUCUUGAGAAAUAGUAUGUUUGAUCACUAGAAGCUCAAUGAUUCAUUUUCCAGUUAUCAUUAAAAAAAUUAUUUUGAUAUAGAAGUCUUUAAUCAUAAUAUUUACAUUAUAUGAAAUUUAGUCAUGAAUCGUUUUAUAAGUUUACAAAACAUAGAUUAUUCAACGCUUAAAAAAUAUUUUAAUAUCGCUGGGGUAAAAAUAUAAUUCUUGGUUACAACAUUUUUCUCAUGUUUCUAUAUUCAUGUUCUAUUUAAAAAAUAUAUAUCAUCACAAUUCCCAUAAAUAACUUAAUUCUCGUAUAUAAAAUACAAUAAAUAAUAUAAAAUACACAGUCAGAAUCAUUGAUAUUUGACGUUAAUAAUUAUAAUUUGUGUUAUAGGAAUUUAUGGAUCUAGGAGACAAAUUUGUAACGAGGAGGGAGCCGGAGCCGGAGCCGGAUAAGAACGAGACGAAAAAGAAGAAGAAAUUGAAGAAGAAGAAGAGAUAGGGUUGACGUGCUUGUAUGGGGAAUAGAAUGGAAAGAAUAAUUAAUAUGAUGCGGAAAAUGUGACCAAAUCUUGAGGUAAUGUGAAAAAGGUGCAAAGUGUGAUGAUUAUAACUAUACAAUGAGCCAAUGAGGUGACCUUGGUCUGUAUGAAUGCUACACGGACGAGUAAGAAGAUAAUCUGGUUUAUAAUUAAAUGGAUUAUUAAAUUAAAAUCUUUGUAAUUAUAGUAAUAUAGAAGGUG
Molecule: long non-coding RNA, 1014 nt
Filed under: Zostera marina
Lineage: Eukaryota; Viridiplantae; Streptophyta; Magnoliopsida; Alismatales; Zosteraceae
Description: long non-coding RNA (ZMAR_LNC001819)
Source: RNAcentral